AGUGAACGCUGGCGGUAGGCCUAACACAUGCAAGUCGAACGGCAGCACAGUAAGAGCUUGCUCUUACGGGUGGCGAGUGGCGGACGGGUGAGGCAUACAUCGGAAUCUACUUUUUCGUGGGGGAUAACGUAGGGAAACUUACGCUAAUACCGCAUACGUCCUACGGGUGAAAGCAGGGGAUCUUCGGACCUUGCGCGAUUGAAUGAGCCGAUGUCGGAUUAGCUAGUUGGCGGGGUAAAGGCCCACCAAGGCGACGAUCCGUAGCUGGUCUGAGAGGAUGAUCAGCCACACGGGAACUGAGACACGGUCCAGACUCCUACGGGAGGCAGCAGUGGGGAAUAUUGGACAAUGGGCGCAAGCCUGAUCCAGCCAUACCGCGUGGGUGAAGAAGGCCUUCGGGUUGUAAAGCCCUUUUGUUGGGAAAGAAAAGCAGCAGGUUAAUACCCCGCUGUUCUGACGGUACCCAAAGAAUAAGCACCGGCUAACUUCGUG
Molecule: ribosomal RNA, 492 nt
Filed under: uncultured bacterium
Lineage: Bacteria
Description: partial 16S ribosomal RNA
Rfam family: Bacterial small subunit ribosomal RNA
Source: RNAcentral